GGAGAGGGUAUAGCUCAAUUGGUAGAGUGUGUGCUUAGCAUGUACAAGGUCCUGGGUUCAAUCCCCAGUACCUCCA
Molecule: transfer RNA, 76 nt
Filed under: Vicugna pacos (alpaca)
Lineage: Eukaryota; Metazoa; Chordata; Mammalia; Artiodactyla; Camelidae
Description: tRNA-Ala (AGC) (tRNA-Ala-AGC-257-1)
Rfam family: tRNA
About the family: Transfer RNA (tRNA) molecules are approximately 80 nucleotides in length. Their secondary structure includes four short double-helical elements and three loops (D, anti-codon, and T loops). Further hydrogen bonds mediate the characteristic L-shaped molecular structure. tRNAs have two regions of fundamental functional importance: the anti-codon, which is responsible for specific mRNA codon recognition, and the 3' end, to which the tRNAs corresponding amino acid is attached (by aminoacyl-tRNA synthetases). tRNAs cope with the degeneracy of the genetic code in two manners: having more than one tRNA (with a specific anti-codon) for a particular amino acid; and 'wobble' base-pairing, i.e. permitting non-standard base-pairing at the 3rd anti-codon position.
Source: RNAcentral